UGGUUAGACCAUCGAUGAAGAACGCAGCGAAAUGCGAUAAGUAAUGUGAAUUGCAGAAUUCAGUGAAUCAUCGAAUCUUUGAACGCACAUUGCGCUCCCUGGUAUUCCGGGGAGCAUGCCUGUUCGAGCGUCAUUGCAACCCUCACGCACCGCGUGGUAUUGGGCUCGCCCCGCUGGGCUUGCCUCAAAGCUAGUGGCGGCUUCUUCAGAACCCGUAAGCGUAGUAUUACUACCCGCUGCCGGAGGCUGGAGCGGCUUGCUAGGAACCCCCACACUUUACAGGUUGACCUCGGAUCAGGUAGGGAUACCCGCUGA
Molecule: unclassified non-coding RNA, 315 nt
Filed under: uncultured fungus
Lineage: Eukaryota; Fungi
Description: partial contains 5.8S ribosomal RNA and internal transcribed spacer 2
Rfam family: 5.8S ribosomal RNA (bases 1-133)
Source: RNAcentral